This is a transfer RNA of Loxodonta africana (African savanna elephant), 74 nucleotides long. It matches the Rfam family "tRNA". Rfam says of the family: Transfer RNA (tRNA) molecules are approximately 80 nucleotides in length. Their secondary structure includes four short double-helical elements and three loops (D, anti-codon, and T loops). Lineage: Eukaryota; Metazoa; Chordata; Mammalia; Proboscidea; Elephantidae. The record is from Rfam.
UCCCUGGUGGUGCAAAAGGUUAACACACUUGGCUGCUAACCUAAAGGUUGGUGGUUCAAAUCCACCCAGAGGCA